UACGGGGGGGGCAAGCGUUGUUCGGAAUUACUGGGCGUAAAGGGCUCGUAGGCGGCCAACUAAGUCGGAUGUGAAAUCCCCAGGCUUAACCUGAGAACUGCAUCCGAUACUGGAUGGCUUGAAUCCGGGAGAGGGAUGCGGAAUUCCAGGUGUAGCGGUGAAAUGCGUAGAUAUUGGGAGGAACACCAGUGGCGAAGGCGGCUACCUGGACCGGUUCUGACGCUGAGGCGCGAAAGCGUGGGUAGCAAACAGG
This 253-nucleotide ribosomal RNA is filed under the name uncultured bacterium. RNAcentral's name for it is "partial 16S ribosomal RNA". It matches the Rfam family "Bacterial small subunit ribosomal RNA", at positions 524 to 776 of the family's 1533-position model. The record is from RNAcentral.